UACAGAGGGGGCAAGCGUUGUUCGGAAUCACUGGGUGUAAAGGGUGCGUAGGCGGUUUGUUAAGUUGGAUGUGAAAACUGUGGGCUUAACCCAUAGCCUGCAUCCAAAACUAGCAGGCUAGAGUUCUGGAGGGGAUAGCGGAAUUCCUGGUGUAGCGGUGAAAUGCGUAGAUAUCAGGAGGAACACCGGUGGCGAAGGCGGCUAUCUGGACAGAGUCUGACGCUGAGGCGCGAAAGCUAGGGGAGCAAACAGG
Molecule: ribosomal RNA, 253 nt
Filed under: uncultured bacterium
Lineage: Bacteria
Description: partial 16S ribosomal RNA
Rfam family: Bacterial small subunit ribosomal RNA
Source: RNAcentral